UUUUUUGUUUUCUUCUUCUCCCACUUAGCUCUGCCAUCUUAUCUAUCUCAAUAAGUCGCUGAACUACACUUUCUUCAGCGAUUUACAUUUCAAAACUGGAUUUCCAGAUUUCUGAGCACUGAAGCCACAAUUAUCUUCACCACUGACUUCCAAGCCUUCAUCAAUGUGAACUGUGAAACUACCAAAAUCUGGAAGUGACAUUAAAAGGCCACACCUGGCAAAAUAAAUGUACUAACCUGUAGUCACUAUACUUGCUAAAACCACAAUAUACUCAGUAAGUGUUGCAGAAAGUCAACCAUGCAGCUGGUAACUUGAAUGUCAUAGUGCUAGAAUGACUUCUACGCUUGCCUUAGGCUGUUUUCUUAGGCCUUCGGAAUAUCCCUUUACAACAGUACAGAUUACAGCGCGUAGGAGACUUGAGGGUAAAAUCUGGCCUUUCAUUGGGUAAAAUCCUGGGAGAAAAUGGGCAGGCACUAGUUAAACAACCGCAGACCUUUUGCUUUCUCAGAGUGUGUCUCCUCACAUAUAUAUCUCUCUCUUUAUUUUCCUACACAGCACCGUUGCAGCAAUUUGUCAUUUAUGCAUUUUCAUAAAUAAAUAUUAUGUUUUAUUUAGUGCUUUAUCAUCCUUAAUAGUUUACUCUUAAUCCACACACUGGAGUUAUUCCAGACUCCCAACUGAAUAUAUAUAUAUUUUUAUAUAUAUAUAUAUAUAAAAAACACAUAAACUUGAACAUUUAACAUACACACUUUAUGUAACCUGUCAACCAGUAUCUUCGAUCCCUUAAUUUUGGACCAGAAACGGUAAAGUUUGUUCAGAAAACCAGUGACUGGCCCUUUUUCUUGCAACACAUACUGACAGCAGGUGCCAAGGGCAUCGCAUGCCUUGCCCACCAGCCAGGAAAGCACCCUCCAAAACAGUUUUUGGGAAUGCCAUAAUAAUUAAAAAAAAAAAAAAAAAAUCUCUAUUUGAGGAAAGCAGACAUGAAACACACUUAAAUACAGCAGGGAAAAGGCACAUCCUCUGCUGCACAUCCACUUACCCAGGACCUGCAGGGACCACGUGCAGAGGGGUGGAUCAACUGAGCCUGCCCCCAACUGCUGCCAAAGUCAAUGGUCUCAUUUGUCAGAGCUGAGAAACUCCAGUUCCUUGGGGCUGUGCUGGUUUGUAUGAAAGGGCAUGAAGGUGAAACGAGUGAGAGUGGAAACCCUGUGGCUCCAUUCAGUAAGACAAAAAGGUGAAAAGAUGCUGGGCUGUCCUCAUUUUGGGCCACAAAUCUUCAAGCCAAGGCAGGCAUGGAGAGGAGCAAACUCUGCUUUCAGCCAAGUAAGCACACUGCUUUUUAAGGACAGGGGAAACCAGUUUUGCCCCCUUGGAGCCAGGGUUUGGUGUACUAUUAACUCUCAGAGAUUUUCUUUUGUAUUCCUCGGUAUUUUGGGGUACAGGCAGGGAAACUGCACUGCGGAAAAAACACUCUAAUUAACAAAAAUCCUCUGAUUGAAAUUUUUAAUAGCUAUAAUCAUGGAGGUCUUGCUGAGUCUCUUGAACCUGUACAUUUUUCUGUUAGCUUGAAACUAUAAAAUGGUAAUUUUUCCAGCUAGAAAUACCUUCAGGGAGCUGUGAAGUUAAACCCCAAUUAUAUACUUACCUACCACAAAUAAAUAAGUUUUGUCCAAAAAGGGGAAAAAAGAUGCAUUACAGAAAUGCUGAGGCUAAAUCCAGCAUGGCAAUUAUUUCAAUUCAGAAAUAGGCUUAGCAUAAUCAAAGCAGCAUUUGUAAGGACUUACUUACUUCAAAAUUAAAUUGAACACCAUCUAGUGAAACACGACAUAGGCAGGCAAAAAACAAAAUAAGGGUAAAGAAGGGUAAACUGGUAACUCUUACACAUCUCAUUUUCAUAAUCUGAUGAAGAACAGAGACCUUUCUAAAGAAAGUACUUCACAGGGAAUAUUCCACCUCUAAUUUCCCCUUCUGUAGUUCGAACACCACAGCAACUGCUGCAGCCCCAGGAAAGAGGAAAGACCAUCAAUACGUUUCCCUUUGCUCUUCUCCUCUAAAAGCUCCUCUUGCUGGGAACCAUGAUGCUAUGCGGCCCCAGCUUGGCAGCAGAGCGGUGCCUCCCAGAGGCAUGGAGGCUUCUGGAACACUGCACGAAAUAGUAAGGCAAAUGAAGCUUGAGGCAAAUGGUUUGGUUUGUGGUGCCUCUCCCUACAGCGGGAGAAGUGCUGGAUGUACUUGCCUGCUGUCAGCCACGGUGCCCAGCCUUCAUCAUCCACCUGAGUCCCGCACUCCUUCCCUGUGGGCUUCCUACUGCAGCUGGGAAGCACCAGGUCUCCUUGUUUAAAGAAAAAUGACUGCCACCCCCCAAAAUUGGGAAUUUUUGAGGUUUUUCACUUUCCCUUAAAAAAGGAAACACAGAUUAUUUUGUUUUCCAGCUGUGCUUGUAGAUGGAUACCUCACUUUUACACAGACAAAAGAGCAAGUUAAUAGUUUUUUCUCACAAGGAACUUCCUCUCACCCAGUGGUUGUGUAUGUACAUGACAGCAGUUUCAAAUUCACCAGCAGAUCCAAAUGUGUACUUCAUUUCCACUCACACACAAAACACUUUAUUUUGCAGUGGGAGGAAAGAAAGAAAAAAGAAAGCCAAGAAAAGGGGCACUUGUUUCUCAUCCUGGUACCAUACCCAUCAGAUUUCCUGAAAACAUGAAGAACUACUUCAAACAAGCCACACUAAAACAUAUUCAUACAGCUCCUGAUUAUCUCAAAUGAAGUAUGGUCUCCCUUGGGACAGGACACCCAUAGGAACCCAGCUGCCUGUGCUCUAACCAUGGCAGGAAUGCAAUUGGGCUUAAUGUCUAUAACUAUGAGAACCACUUGCACAUGCAGGGCUAUGGAAAGUCGUCUCUGCAUGUAGGUGACUUCUAAGAUGAUUUCCAUUACAGCUCCUCUGAGCUGCACACCC
Long non-coding RNA from Strigops habroptila (Kakapo), 2962 nucleotides. The record is from Ensembl. Lineage: Eukaryota; Metazoa; Chordata; Aves; Psittaciformes; Psittacidae.